Nerophis ophidion (straightnose pipefish) is the source of this 8438-nucleotide long non-coding RNA. RefSeq lists it as uncharacterized. The transcript is spliced from 2 exons. NCBI's taxonomy places the organism in Eukaryota, Metazoa, Chordata, Actinopteri, Syngnathiformes, Syngnathidae. The record is from RefSeq and is a predicted model, not a curated record.
GUCAUCUCACAAGACCCUCGGGUGCCGUGAAUGUCAAUCAAGCAAGCUACGGAAUUUGCCGCCAAUGUUUUUCUUGUAAAGUGUAUGGAAGCUGGAUGAAUUAGAUGCCAAAAACCAACCACUUUCAUGUGGUAUUGUACAGAAAGGACAACUUUUUUUCCUCCUCCAUUUGAAAAUGUGGGCGUUAUCAUCAUUACUGUCUGAUUCCAAUCAAUGCAAGUCAUCAGAAUCAGGUAAUACACCAACUUAUAUUCUUGUCUUGGUGGAAGAAAGACAUCUAUAUGUGUUACACAUGCUUGUAUUAUCAUUAAACACAUUUAACUUGUUUACUAAAAAGGCUUUUUCAUAAAUAAAUAAAUAUAAAUGAUCUAUAUAAAUGAGGUAGAUCCCCUCGAGUUGGUCAAUUGAAAAGUAGCUCGCCUGCAGAAAAAGUGUGGGCACCCCUGGUCUAGAUAACCCGGAGCGCCAUCAAGAACGGCGCCAAAGGAUUCCGCAGGAAAUGAAGCGCACCUCACAUCUACUCACGUUCCCCGCAUGGAGUCUAGUCCUACCAUACAGGAGGCGAAGCACAGCGUUCAGAGAGCACACCACGGAAAUGUAAAGGAGUGUAUUAUGGGUAAUAGUCGUAUAGCGCUUUUCUACCUUCAAGGCACUCCAAAGUGCUUUGACACUAUUUCCACAUUCACCCACUGAUAGCGGAAGCCCUAACCACCAACCAUCAGGAGCAAGGGCGCAGUCUCUUGCCCAAGGCGAGGUUGGUAGAAGGUGGGGAUUGAACCAGGAACCACUCUCCCGACCCCCGCCACGCCGUCCCCCGUCUUCAUUAAUGUUAUUAUUUUUGUUACAGAAGUGACGAGGAGCCACACUGAGAAGAAAACGUAGCAUAAAACUACAUAAAUACAGACGGUCCCUUAUUUUACAUCAGGGUGUCCAAACUUUUUCCACCGAGGGCCUCACACUGAAAAAUCAAAGCAGGCGGGGGCCCAUUUUCAUAUUUUUUAUUUUAAAAAACAAUGCAAUAAGUGUAUAAAAAAUAUACAUUUAGGCCUCCACUCAGUUAUGAUCCUAAAGGGUUUUGGUCCAAAAAAAUAUAAAAAAUGUGUCAUUAUUUAGUAUUGCUAUGUUCUUUAUUAUUCAAGUUUUUAAAUCUCUAGAACCGGGGUAGGGAACCUAUGGCUCUAGAACCAGAUGUGGCUCUUUUGAUGACUGCAUCUGGCUCUCGGAUAAAUCUGAACUGACGUUGUUUAACACGAUAAAUAAUGAAUAAUUCCACUUGUAAUCACAGUGUUAAAAAUAACGUUCAAAAUAUGAAACAUUCUCAUGCAUUUUUAAUCCAUCCAUCCGUUUUUCUACCGCACCUGUUCAAGAAGUUGCGUUAACGGUAAGAAGUUAUUUAUUUAUAAUUGGUUAGUGUGGGGUUUUCCCUCCUGGGGGUUCUUCAGACCCCCAAGCACCGACAUGAGAGCCUGUUUCAGGGUUACAAUAUUGUUUUAUUAAUAGUAUUUCCAGCCCCAACCCAGUCUCUCCUGGUUUCUGCUCAUAACAGAGCGAGAGGUGAUUAGAUAACAAGGCCCAGGUGGGCCAUCUACGCACCUGUCGCUGCAGGCCCGCAGUCCACGCCCCCCCUCCACAGUUAGCUUCAGAAUAACAAUGUAACCUAUUAUACUCUAGAAAUGUUGGUCUUAAUUAAAAAUACACGCGUUUAGUUGUGUUGAGUGUUAAAAAAAAUAUUAUAUGGCUCUUAGGGAAAUAUAUUUUAAAAUAUUUGGCUUUUCGGCUCUCUCAGCCAAAAAGGUUCCCGACCCCUGCUCUAGAUCAACAUUAGGGGGGGAAAAAAAAAUGGAAAAACCACAAAAUAUGCAAUAUUUUCACCCAAUAACCUUUUUAGGUGGAAUAUUUGAGAUGAUAUAAUAAUUGGAGCCUUCAUUUUGGAUUUUGAUUCAUUAUUAUUUUUUGAGCAGUGACACUUAAAAACAAACCACCCCAAAAUAAUUGGGGAUCCAAAAGUGCUGAAAAAAUAAAUUAUACAUUUUUUCUACUGUUUACUUUUAACAUAAUUGCGGCGGUAUAGCUCGGUUGGUAGAGUGGCCGUGCCAGCAACUUGAGGGUUGCAGGUUCGAUUCCCGCUUCCGCCCUCUUAGUCACUGCCGUUGUGUCCUUGGGCAAGACACUUUACCCACCUGCUCCCAGUGCCACCCACACUGGUUUAAAUGUAACUUAGAUAUUGGGUUUCACUAUGUAAAGCGCUUUGAGUCACUUGAGAAAAGCGCUAUAUAAAUAUAAUUCACUUCACAAUAAUCACGAGAUUAAUUUCAGAUACAUCCGUCAAUUUUAGGUUUUAUUCUUGUUUACGUUUUUUGUUUGUAUGUUUUAGGCCAUGGGUGUCAAACUCUGGCCCGUGGGCCAAAUUUGGCCCGCCGUGUAAUUUAAUUUGGCCCUUGAGGCAAUAAUAAAUUAACAUAAGAGCUGGCCCGCCGCUGUAACGCCACAUUCACCACUAAUACUCAUACUCGUCAACCCUCCCAAUUUUCCCGGGAGACUCCCGAAGUUCAGUGCCCCUCCCGAUUUCCACCCGGACAAUAAUAUUGGGGGCGGGCAGUAAAAGCACUGCUUUUGGCGUUCUCUACAUGUCGCCACGUCCGCUUUUCCUCCAUAAAAAUAGCGUGCCGGCCCACUCACAUAAUAUAUGUGGCUCAUACACACACACAAGUGUAUGCAAGGUAUACUUGGUCAACAGCCAUACAGGUCACACUGAGGGUGGCCGUAUAAAUAACUUUAACACUCUUUCAAAUAUGCGCCAUACUGUGAACCAACAGCAAACAAGAAUGACAAACACAUUUCGGGAGAACAUCCGCACCGUAACACAACAUAAACACAACCGGACAAAUACCCAGAACCCUUUGCAUCACUAACUCUUCCGGGACGCUACACUAUACACCCCCGGGCCCCAACUCAAACCCGCCGCUGAAAGAAGGCAUUAAAUUUGUGUUUUUAUCUUAUUUGAUAUGCCAUUGAUAUUUUUUAAUUAUUAUUAUUUGAAACUUAUAUAACUAUAAAGUUAUAUAAGCCUUGCUUGGUCAAUAUUCAAUGCAAAACUUGUUUGGGUCCCUAUUAAAGGCUUAAUUUGUUAAUUUGUUCAGUUUUAAAUUUUGGCCCACUCUGUAUUUGAGUUUGACAGCCCUGCUCUAGAUCAACAUUAGGGGAAAAAAAAUGGAAAAAACACAAAAUAUGCAAUAUUUCCACCCAAUGACUUUUUUAGGUGGAAUAUUUGAGAUUAUAUAAUAAUUGGAGCCUUCAUUUUGGAUUUUGACUCAUUAUUAUUUUUUGAGCAAUGACACUUAAAAACAAAUCACCCGAAAAUAAUUGGGGAUCCAAAAGUGUCCUACUCAUUAAAAUAAAUACUUUUAACACAAUAAUCUCGAGAUUAACUUCAGAUAUAUCCGUCAAUUGUAAGUUUUAUUGUUGUUUACGUUUUUUGUUCAUAUGUUUUAGGCCCUUCUUUUAAAAAAAAAACACAGCUUAGUUUUUUAUAUGGCAAAACACAAAAUAUACAACAUUUUCCCGAAAAAAUAUCUCAAAGUGGAAUAUUUAAUGUGACGUAAUUGGAGCCUUGAAUAGGUCAAUAAUUCAAAAUGACAUUUAUUUUGAUUCAUUAUUAUUUUUAAUAGAAAGAAAUAGCCUGCAUGGCAGCUUUGUGUUCUUGUUAGAUUUCACCUGUUUGCUCUUUUAUACCACUUUUUAUGUUUUUAAUUUUUUUCAAUUGUAUUCUUAAAAUGUGCCUUGGGGCCGUUAAAAAAUAACCCGAGGGCCGCAAAUGGCCCCCGGGAUUUUGGUCAACAGCCAUACAGGUCACACUGAGGGUGGCCAUAUAGACAACUUUAACACUGUUACAAAUAUGCGCCACACUGUGAACCCACACCAAACAAGAAUGACAAACACAUUUCGGGAGAACAUCCACACCGUAACACAACAUAAACACAACACAACCCCUUGCAGCACUAACUCUUCCGGGACACCCCUGUUAUACAUGAAUAAAAAUUGGUUUUUAUGCAGGGAAAUAAAGAUGGAUUUUUCUUUUAGAAAUAUCCUAUAAUAUCGGACUGCCGAUAAAUGCUUUAAAAUGUAAUAUCGGAAAUUAUCGGUAUCGGUUUCAAAAAGUAAAAUUUAGGACUUUUUAAAACGCCGCUGUGAGCGCCAAUAAACCUCAAAGGCACUGCCUUUGCGGGCCGGCCCAGUCUUGUAACAACUACGGCUUUUCACACACGCAAAUGAAUGAAAUGCAUACUUGGUCAACAGCCAUACAGGUCACACUGCGGGUGGCCGUAUAAACAAGGUUAAUACUGUUACAAAUAUGGCGCCACACUGUGAACCCACACCAAACAAGAAUGACAAACACAUUUUGGGAGAACAUCCGCACUGUAACACAACAGAACACGCGUUUCUCCUCAUUGAGCCAAAUUUGAAUCCUGUCUCUGUUUAAUUCCUUGCUUCUUGUCUGUUUAACAGCAGUCUUAAGUGUUUGAACCUGACCGCGGUCUUUCUGUGUGGAGUUUGCAUGUUCUCCCCGUGACUGCUUUGAAAAUAGUACUUUUUUGUAACAGUACCACUUUUUGUCAGGUUCAAACACCGAACUGUGUGUCACACAAGACAAGAAGAAGGACUCAAGCAGAGACGGGAGUUCAAUUUCGCUCAUGAGGAGAAACGUCUGGGGCUCUACAGUCAGUUACAGUUUCACCCUAAGCUCUAAGGUACAGUCCCACGUGCUCCUCUAUUUAUGCGAGUAUGCGAGACAACUUGCAAUGGAGUUGAGUUGAGUUUGAGUUUAUUUCAAACAUGCAAACAUACAACAUGAUACAUCACAAUUUCCAGUUUCAACAUGUUUGAAAUGAAGUAGAAGCACAGUUUAUUUAAUCCUACCCCUUUUCUUUUACAUAGCAGUUGCUAAAACCUUUGUUCACUUCCUGUUCUCAAUUUAGUAAUCACAAUUAAAAAAAAGAAAUAAAUAAUAAUUGGUGACGUAAGUUACAUUCAUUUUUGAUUGAUUGAUACUUUUAUUAGUAGAUUGCACAGUACAGUACAUAUUCCGUACAAUUGACCACUAAAUGGUAACACCCGAAUAAGUUUUUCAACUUUUUUAAGUCGGGGUCCACGUUAAUCAAUUCUUAUUUAUCUCAUAUGAUGAGAUAAGUAAGAAUAUUUUGAGAAUGAAUGAAUACAAGAUUAGAAGUUGUGUGCCUUUGCACGGAUAGAAAAGUACAACUUCAGCACAAUUGAUAAUAACUAUAGCCACGGCCUUAAAGCAUGAGAGUUGUGUGAUAACUUAUACAUAAUUAAUCCAUAAUUUAUUUUCAAAAAUGACAAGUACUGUAUAUCCUCAAAGUUUGAUUGAUUGAAACUUUUAUUACUAGAUUUCACAGUACAGUACAUAUUCCGUACAAUUGACCACUAAAUGAUAACACCCCAAUAAGUUUUUCAACUUGUUUAAGUCGGGGUCCACGUUAAUCAAUUCAUACUUAUCUCAUAUGAUGAGAUAAGUAUGAAUAUUUUGAGAAUGAAUGAAUACAAGAUUAGAAGUUGUGUGCCUUUGCACGGAUAGAAAAGUACAACUUCAGCACGAUUGAUAAUAACUAUAGCCACGGCCUUUAAGCAUGAGAGUUGUGUGAUAACUUAUACAUAAUUAAUUAAUAAUUUCCCUUCAAAAAUGACACGUAUAUCCUCAAAGUUUGAUUGAUUGAAACUUUUAUUAGUAGAUUGCACAGUACAGUACAUAUUCCGUACAAUUGACCACUAAAUGGUAACACCCGAAAUAAGUUUUUCGACUUACAACUCAUGGUAAAAAGUCCUGCCUUUUUUCUGUAAUAUUUCCUUCUAACGUCUUGUAAAUGUGUCCUUGUUUUUUAGCCAGCGGUCUCAUUAUUUACUUUUCUUGUCAGUGUGGUUCUAAUUGUCCUCCAUUGAGAAGCUCGACUAAACCCGGCGGUUGUUAGAAUUAUGCCGACAAACUUUCCAAGCAGUGAAAGUUCAGAUUCCUUGACGAAAAUCAAGUUUGUCAUAAGACGCCGUUGUGUUCAUUUCUUCUUGCAGCUCUACACGGAUAUAAAAAGAAAGUCCAUAUUGUCAUGCCAAGGCCAGCCACCUCUUACAGGGGAAAAGUACACAAAGCCUUUGAAAGCAGAGUUAGUCUGCACUUUACUGACGCAGGUCCGUGGUUUUAGGUCCGUGUUCGACAAUCAAGGAUUAAACACAAGCACAUUCCUACGCUCUGCCUGCCUGUGAGAAUGAUCUCGGUUGUCUACUGUGUGCUCCCCAAGUCUUUAGUGGGCUCGGAACAAAGCCAGACUUGCAAUGACCUCCAUUAGCCACCAAGAAAUGGAACGGCAUGGGCGAGUCUCAGUGGAAUCUGCCGAGACCGAAGAACGGGACACUUCUACAAACAUAGAAAGUUAGAUUGGGAAUUCAAAUAUGUUUAGAGAGAAUUGUAUGGCCUUGUCUGCUUUUGAUCGUGGGAAUGGUACGCAGCAUACUUGCCAACCCUCCCGAUUUUCCCGGGAGACUUCUGAAUGGGGAGUGCUCAGAGAGUUUGGGGUAACGGACUGUCUGAUUGUGGCUCCAUGUAUGAUCAGUGUCAGAACUUGGUCCGCAUCGCCGGCAGUAAGUUGAACCUGUUUCCAGUGAGGGUUGGACUCCGCCAAGGCUGUCCUUUGUCACCCAUUCUGUUUAUAACUUUUAUGGACAGAAUUUCUAGGCGAAGUCAAGGCGUUGAGGGGUUCCGGUUUGGUGACCGCAGGAUUAGGUCUCUGCUGUUUGCAGAUGAUGUGGUCCUGACGGCUUAAUCUGGCCAAGAUCUUCAGCUCUCACUGGAUCGGUUUGCAGCCGAGUGCGAAGCGACUGGGAUUAGAAUCAACAACUCCAAGUCCAUGGUUAUCGCCUGGAAAAGGGUGGAGUGCUAUCUCCGGGUUGGGGAGGAGACCCUGCCCCAAGUGGAGGAGUUCAAGUACCUCGGAGUCUUGUUCACGAGUGAGGGAAGAGUGGAUCGUGAGAUCGACAGGCGGAUCGGUGCGGCGUCUUCAGUAAUGAGGACGCUGUAUCUACCAGUUGGGGUGAAGAGGGAGCUGAGCCGGGAGGCAAAGAUCUCAAUUUACCGGUCGAUCUAAGUUCCAAUCCUCACCUAUGGUCAUGAGCUUUGGGUUAUGACCGAAAGGACAAGAUCACGGGUACAAGCGGCCCAAAUGAGUUUCCAGGUCUCUCCCUUAGAGAUAGGGUGAGAAGCUCUGCCAUCCGGGAGGAACUCAAAGUAAAGCCGCUGCUCCUCCACAUGGAGAGGAGCCAGAUGAGUUGGUUUGGGCAUCUCGUCAGGAUGCCACCCGAACGCCUCCCGAGGGAUGUGUUUCAGGCAUGUCCGACCAGUAGGAGGCCACGGGGAAGACCCAGGACACGUUGGGAAGUCUAUGUCUCCCGGCUGGCCUGGGAACGCCUCGGGGUCUCCCGGGAGGACCUGGACGAAGUGGCUGGGGAGAGGGAAGUCUGGGCUUCCCUGCUUAGGCUGCUGCCCCCGCGACCCGACCUCGGAUAAGCGGAAGAAGAUGAAUGGAUAGAUGGACUCCUGAAUUUCAGUGCCCCUGAAAAAUCUCCCGGGGCAACCGUUCUCCCAAAUUUCUCCCGAUUUCCACCCGUACAUCAAUAUUGAGGGUGGGGGGGGGUGUCCUCUACAAACUGUCGUCACGUCCGCUUUUCCUUCAUACAAACAGCGGGCUGAUGUAGAUGCAUAAUGUAUGCGGUUUCUACACACACAAGUGAAUCCUGUAUACCUGGUCAACAGCCAUACAGGUCACACUGAGGGUGGCCGCAUAAACAACUUAAACACUGUUACAAAUAUGCGCCACACUGUGAACCCACACCAAACAAGAAUGACAAACACAAUUCGAGAGAAUAUCUGCACUGUAACACAACAUAAACAAAACAGAACAAAUACCCAGAACCCCUUACAGUACUAACUCUUACGAGACGCUACAAUAUACAAACCGCACCCCCCAACCCCACCCACCUCAACACCGCCCCGCCAUCUCAAACAACUCCCCCUUCCCCAGAUCUCUCGAAUUCGGAGGUCUCAAGGUUGGCAAGUAUGGUACGCAGGCCAAGCUAGACUGGUGUGUCACGUUUCUUUUGUGCGUUCAAAGAGGAAUAGAAUCGUGAAUAUAGGCGGUUUCAAAUUAUUUCAAAACUAAUGGCAUCAAAAACGUAGUUUGCAUGUCUAUAUUUACCUGCAAAAUACCAAAUGGACUAAAUGUAGUGUUCAGAAUGUUCAAGGAGAAGAGGAUUCAAGGCUUUUCUAGCAUUAACCUUAUACAGAACACAGUCCUCUUUAAAUGGACUUUCAUGUUUUAUGUUCUAUUGAUGCCUAUAUUAUUUUCUUAUGAAUAAAUACUAAUGAAACUGCA